AUAUGAGUUCAUUAUUCUGGGAAGAAGACGGAUAUGAUUAUUCUAUAAAAGAUUAUUUUGUAGAAUUGAAAGUUGAGAAUGGAAAUCUUAUGGGAUACUGGAAUGAAGGAGAAAAGAUUGAAUUAAAAUAUUUUCAGAUGAUGAAUUCCAAAGUAUACUUGUUACAGAUGGCCGUGGUUAUGGGAAAACUACCCUAUUUAAGAAAUUAGCUUAUGAUUGGUCAACAAAAAAUUAUUCUGAUUAUUUGAAACAGUUUGAUUUAGUAAUUCUUAUCACGCUUUGUGAAUUACAAGAAAGUAACAUUAAUGACACUAUUAUUGAUGCUAUUUUUGAAAAGUCUAAAAGGAC
This 348-nucleotide long non-coding RNA is filed under the name Androctonus crassicauda. Lineage: Eukaryota; Metazoa; Arthropoda; Arachnida; Scorpiones; Buthidae. The record is from RNAcentral.